CAUCAGGGGUUUUCAACCAGGGGUCCGUGGCCAGCGUGGUCCGCGACGGCAUUGCAGGGGGUCCGCGACAUGAGCCUAUGUUGAUCAGUUCACCAUUGACUUUUUUUAUUUUUAUAAAUAUACCUGGGCCCGUCGACAUAUUUAUGUCUGAAUAGCCAAGUCGCAUUGCCCAAAAUACUGAAUACAUAUUUAGCGAAGAAAUUACACUGACAAGUAUUAUAGGCAGAAUAUGUGUGCGGGGGGAGGGGGCGUGGCGGCGGUGGCAGCGUUACAAACAUGAAAAAGAAGGGUACGGGACUUGUAAUGUUUAUGAGUUAUAACAUUGUCACAUCAGUGACGUAUGGCAUGACCCCCUACAGGCAUGCGCAGGUUGGGUGUUCAUGCAGAGCAGAGCCCGCGAGUCCGUGAACAGUACAGAUGUAUAAUUGCCUCCUUCAUAUCAGUAAACAAUCUUUCUUUAACACCCGGUCUGAUUAUUAACUCACACAACGAGAAUAUCACAUUGGCGACGAGGAUAAAACCGAAGAAGACGACUGCACUAAAAAAAAAAAAAAAAAAAGGAAGGAAGAAAAGAAUACGUGAAGGACGGUUAACGGUUAACGCGACGACACGUGAGGACAAGUGUCAGCUAGCUAGACUUGCAAGCUAACCUAGCCUAAGGUACUGGAGUGGCUAAUAGAACAUUCUAGAAAGAAAAAAAUGGCACUCAUAAACACAGUCACACUUCCAGCCUUUGAUGUCGAGAGCGAACCAAGUUCCGUGGGACCACGCUGGACUAAAUGGCUGCAAAGGUUUGAUAAUUACAUUACUGCAAUGAACAUUAACGGAGAUGCUAGACAGAAAGCAUUGCUACUGCACUUAGCAGGCGAGCGUGUUCAUGACAUCUAUGACACGUUAGCUGCGAACCAGGACAAGUUUUCAGACGCUAAGCGGAAGCUAAGCACUUACUUUGAACCUAAAAAGAACGUGCAGUAUCAAAUAUACAUGUUCAGAAAGGCAGUACAGCAGCCAAAUGAAAAUUUAGACACAUAUUGCACCGGACUACGCAUCCUAGCAAAGAACUGUUUUCCGAC
Long non-coding RNA from Clupea harengus (Atlantic herring), 1073 nucleotides. Lineage: Eukaryota; Metazoa; Chordata; Actinopteri; Clupeiformes; Clupeidae. The record is from Ensembl.